This 253-nucleotide ribosomal RNA is filed under the name uncultured bacterium. RNAcentral's name for it is "partial 16S ribosomal RNA". It matches the Rfam family "Bacterial small subunit ribosomal RNA", at positions 524 to 776 of the family's 1533-position model. The record is from RNAcentral.
UACGUAGGGUGCAAGCGUUGUCCGGAAUUAUUGGGCGUAAAGAGCUCGUAGGCGGUCUGUUGCGUCGGCUGUGAAAACCCGGGGCUCAACCCCGGGCCUGCAGCCGAUACGGGCAGACUAGAGUUCGGUAGGGGAGACUGGAAUUCCUGGUGUAGCGGUGAAAUGCGCAGAUAUCAGGAGGAACACCGGUGGCGAAGGCGGGUCUCUGGGCCGAUACUGACGCUGAGGAGCGAAAGCGUGGGGAGCAAACAGG